AUCUUAAAUCUCAGGUCAUUUAUGCACUUUUUGACUGGAGUUUGUGCAAUUAUUGGUGGUAUUUUUACAGUUGCUGGUCUUGUUGACUCCAUGAUUUACCACUCUUCCCGUGCAAUACAGAAGAAAAUAGACCUUGGCAAAGCCAGCUAGUACCACAACUAUAUAAUAGUAAAUAAUUAUAAAGAAUUCAAACAGUUAUCACGAGAUCUGCUUUCUUGCCAAAAACCUAGAUUUUCUGCUGAUGAGAGCAUUUUCGWAAUAUGAAUUAUUGUAGCUAAAAAUWUUGUUGUGUUGGCAUGGAUUUUGCUCAUAUGAUCCCAGAUGGCAAGCGUUUGCUAAGUAUAUCCCCUUCAUAGCUACUUACAGUUUCAGCAAAGGAGUCUAUACAGAACCAUGUCUGUCAUAUUGUCCAAACUAAUACACUGUAACUUGGUUAGUAUAAAAAGUAAUAUUUGUUCAAAAUUACAGCAGAAAUGUUCCCAUUGCAAGUUUGAGUCUUUGUUGAUGUUUGUUUGUAUUUAAUCUUUCUUACUGGUGUUGCGCUGUUAGGAAUAAAUGGUAUAAGCUSCACACAUUGAUCAUUACAAACCAAAAACAMAGAGAAGUGGURAGCUGUUUUSAAGGUGAAUCAGUCCACAAAGAGCCUUUCUGUACAUGCAAAUGUAAAUGCCCUUUCUCAAACAAUAUAUAAUUAAAUGAACCUUAUCGGACAUCCAUWUAUGGAAGCUKUACRACAUACUCUACUCUGUCAGACAUUGCCUYCUGACGCAAUUUUCCUGMCAUCAUGUGGACAAAACACCUGCCCUUUUGCUCUAAAGAAUAGCUCUUAACAGAACAAUAUUUAAUAGCAAAGAACCACCCACAUGAACGAGGACUUAGUAUUGUUUUGCGGGUUUUGAAGUGRAACUGAGUGGAGUGRACAUUUGUACUUGCUGUAAUUAUCUGAUAUCAUGUCACUGAUGUUUGGUGUCUAGACAGUAAUAUGCAAAUGAUGUACUAAAAAUAGUAAUCCAGGAAGCCCAAUAUCAUGACUAAAUAAAGAUGAAUAAAGAUCAGUCUAAUCUUAGUGCAUUUAUACAUGUAAACUGUAUUAUUCAUAGCGAUUGAGUAAAGAACUUUAUAUUAA
Long non-coding RNA from Exaiptasia diaphana, 1126 nucleotides. RefSeq lists it as uncharacterized. NCBI's taxonomy places the organism in Eukaryota, Metazoa, Cnidaria, Anthozoa, Actiniaria, Aiptasiidae. The transcript has 2 exons. The record is from RefSeq and is a predicted model, not a curated record.